This 351-nucleotide ribosomal RNA is filed under the name Triticum aestivum (bread wheat). Its description in RNAcentral is "partial small subunit ribosomal RNA". The record is from RNAcentral. Lineage: Eukaryota; Viridiplantae; Streptophyta; Magnoliopsida; Poales; Poaceae.
AUGGCGUCCGCGGGAGAUCCUCUCCAAGGUCAAGCACGUCUAGGCCAAGCCUACUGGCCGCCCUCGCGGGUGACUGCCUCCGCGGUGACGACGGCGGCCUCGUCGUCCCUGGAGGCCGCGGCGCCCCUCAAGGCCGACCUCCGCCACGUUUGUGAUCCGUCGAUCUCGUCUCUCCAACAGUGUUCCGGAUGCACGCACGAGUUCGACCUGGACAAGCCUCCGGUGCUGCAGGAGGUGGCGGUUUUCUUCAGUGGCCACGGAAUCGAGGACUUCACCUUCAGCAGGGGCAGGCUGUCAGAAUGGCGUUGCCGGGAAAAGCUAGCGGUACGCGGAACAAUAUCACAAAACUGA